AUUUGUUGUCCUGCUCCAGCUGUCGUGCCCAAGGGCACUAGCCAAAAUUUUGUAUCUCUGUGUACCCAGAUUUUGUAUUUCUCAUACUGUUACCUAGAUAAUCUCAGCUUCAUAUGGUAUUAGAGUUGUGAUUACCUCGGCAUUGUUGGCAUUUCAAGACUCUGCAUCCCCAAUAUUUGCCUCUGGUUAUCUAGGAAGUUCAGCCUUUUCUCACAUAACUCCCCCAUAACCACCUGUGAGAUCCAGCCAUUCCUGCCAACACUAUCCCUUCUGUCAGCUUCUCGUACUGUUACCUGUCCAGUUCAGCCAUUUCUCUUGUCAUGCCCAGUGCUUUUCCAUGUCCUGUUCAGUUAGCUUACCCUCAGGCCAGGGCACGGAUAGCAGCCUAUUAUUUGUGUGUGGCUCCAAAAAAUAAGCAGAGGCCAAUGAUGUGGGAUGUUUGAUACAGUUGGGGUUUGGGUUUGGUUGGGGGUUUUUUUGGUUUUGUUUGUUUGUUUGUUUGUUUUAAUUGCAAAUGCACUGGCAUUCACCUUUUUUGUCAUCUGCAUAAAAAGAAAUAAAGAAGCUGAAUUUAUUUGCACAGUUUUAUAUCCUAAUGAAACUGGGAGAAUUGCAACAAUUUGAGUGCUGCAAGGUCUAUUGUGGCCACGAGCUGUCUAAAGAAUACAUCUGGGUUCAAAUUAUUGUUUACAGUCUAAAGGGACAUGCCUUGCCUUUGAUAGUUAAGGACGCAGAGUUACAUCUUUACUUCCCACUGCCUUGUCUCUGUCAAAAUCUUUUAAUUCUUAUGCUGCUUUAUUAUUUGUGGCUUCUGGUUUUUUUAGGUUUUUUUUCUGAGCUUUUUCCUUUUAUAAAACAUCAAAUGUAUCAAAUGUGGUUUAAAAAAACAAUAUUCUUUGCAAUGGUUUCAGUUGUAAGAGUUUCUCUUUGCUUAUGUUGCGUAGCAGAAUGGCAUCCUCCAGGAUGUUGCCUGACACAGCAGCAGCCUGGACCAGACUUGACAUGGAAAAGACAGCUCUUUUGCAACACCAUUACUGAUUCAUUGUGGAAAUCAAGAUGAGCAGAAACUGGCAACCUCUCCCCAACGUGUGGGAUAUCCAGACCCAGCUAUAUAUGAAUCCUUGUGGCUGUUCUAGGCACUGGUCCUCAAAAGCAUUGCUAGCAUGGGAUUUUCAAACUCUGGUUGUAUAUGUUCAUAAUGUUGCAAAUUAGAGAUGCUAGAACAGAAGCAAGCAGUAAGUUGCAUGUUAUUCUACAUGGUGUCCAUGAUAUAGGAGUUGCCACCUUUCAUUUUCUCUUCUCUCGCAGGCUCUCGUUUACACUGAUUCUAGUCUUCCUCUCUUAACAUCGAGUUAGUUUCCUGUAUGUAUUAGUAAUUUUAAAGGCACAUUGACUGAAAGUAAGCACAUCUCUAGAGAUUUCUUUCAUUGUAGAACAGUGACAGCUAUUAUUUCUUAGAGUUGCCACUUAAUACCAUGUGGCAUUUCAGAGAAGAGGUAAUUAAGCCCAUGGUAACUAUGUGUUAUCUUAUGGCUUUGCUAUCACAUCGCAGUACAGCAAUGGAUGAUGAUGGAGUUAAGUGUGGUGCAGACAUCUGCUGUGAUAUGUGACUUGCUCCUCUUGGUUGCAGCUUCUAGAGCAGCCCAGGUCAUGUCAUCACCUGGUGGCCAUUGGGCAAAUGAACAAGGUAGGUUUUUCUAAUUAGCUGUGUUGCCUUAACCAAAGCCAGUUUGAUUUGGCAGGUAGCUUUUCCAAAUGGAGACCAAGGCCUGCAUGGCUCUGGGGGCUGACCAGGUUCAGGGUCUGGAGGACACUGGGGGCCGGUGCUGAAGCAGGUCAGCACGCCUGCGGCAGAGACGCCUUUGCCUGCUGAGCUGUACCAGCCUCUCUUUGUGCCCGGACAGCCUGAAUCUCCAGCAUUUCUGUAAGCAUUUAACUUCACUGAAAGGAAAAGGGAUGAAUAGCAGAGUGUAUGCUGUAAUCUUUGCCACUGUUUAUAUUUUGGAAACUUUAGUGGUCCAAGAACAUUUUUAGUCUUCUUAUUUAGAUCUAUGACUCCUACUUGUUACAGUGCUGAUGUCUGCAAGAAAAAUAGCCGUCGCAUUUAGCAGCAUUAUGCAUGGUCCAGUUUUAUUGGAGUAAGGGCAACACUUUAAAAGUUUUCUAACUUGGAUGAGGCAGUAGUAUAUCUUUCGCAAAUCAAUCAAAAUGAUCAAACAAACAGUACAUACAAAUUUAGAACAGACAUCUCUCUGUGCAGCCAACAUGACCUAUGCUCUCUGGUUCCUAAACUGUAAGCUGCUGCUUCUGCUGAGUCUUGCCAGUCUUUCUCACUCAAGCCACAAGGUCUGGAGAAACAGCUGAAGUGGAAAACUAAGAGAAUGAGCAUCUGAAUUAGGAAGAGAGAAGAGAACUUUGUCUUCCCCAAAAAGCGUUUCCACAUAGAAGGAAACUGUCCUCACCUUGAAGCCCUGCAGCCAUGCUUCAGCAGCGAUGAGGGCUUGAAAGAAGGGAGGAAAGAGAAGUCUUUUCCAUUCUCCUCUCAGUGCAAUGAAAGGUGGCAGUGCUCUUCUCUCUCCCUCAAUGGGGGAGGCAACCACAAUCAGUCUUUUGCAUGAAGCCACAGUGGAAGAGGAACUGUAGAGGUUGUUCUUCACCUGCUAGGCAAGAAGAGCUACCAAAAAUGUCUGGAAAACAUCUCAUCCACUGAAAGACUAAAGAAUUUCCACCUCCUGAGCUCCUUACAGCUGAGUCUGAAGGUGGAUCAGAUCACACAGCUCUGCGGGAACUGACUAAACAUAAACUGCAGUAUUAUCAUUAAGACCUGAUUUACAAAGGUAGUUACCGAUCUCCUUGUAUUGAGCACUUGCCAGAGAAAUAUGGAGAAUGCACAUGAAGAAUCGGCAUGUCUCACAGCCGCGAUGGGAAAGCUUUAACACAAGUUCACUUUAAACCUCCUCGCUAAGCACAUACUGAUAUAAACGUAUGAAUAAUGAUUGGGAGAGGCAGCAGCCUUCUUAUUAAUGAGCUUAUGGGAUGCCUUCCCAUCAUUAGCAUGUCCCUGCUGAUGGAUGCCAGGGCGGGAGAAGGGGACGUAGCCCUGUCCCCAUGCAGGAGCACAGCCACUCCCUAGCUGUGGCUGGGAGGGAGCGGGAGGGCGCUGGGGCCAGGUUAGAGACAUCCAUACCUGAACAGACGGGGCUCAGAAAAGAUGGUCAAAUGCAAGUACAGUUGCUGUAAGCCUAAGUCACGGGUGCCUGCAGGAAGUCAGUGAAAACGCAGAGUUACUUGUGGAUAUAGACUGGCUUAAAACAGACGGUAAAACCUCAACCACAAUAAUACCGUGGGAACGCCACAGCACCACUUCGAUACAAAUGCGAGGAAAGGCAAAUGGUUAGCACACCAAAAAGCAGUGUCUUAAAAUUAAGAAAGGUAUUGGUAAAAAUAAGGAAAAUUAUAUUGAGUUCAAUAUGUGCAGCA
Harpia harpyja (harpy eagle) is the source of this 3480-nucleotide long non-coding RNA. RefSeq lists it as uncharacterized. Lineage: Eukaryota; Metazoa; Chordata; Aves; Accipitriformes; Accipitridae. The record is from RefSeq and is a predicted model, not a curated record. The transcript has 4 exons.